This 334-nucleotide ribosomal RNA is filed under the name uncultured Streptococcus sp. Its description in RNAcentral is "bacterial SSU rRNA". It matches the Rfam family "Bacterial small subunit ribosomal RNA", at positions 1044 to 1382 of the family's 1533-position model. The record is from RNAcentral. Lineage: Bacteria; Bacillati; Bacillota; Bacilli; Lactobacillales; Streptococcaceae.
CAUGGUUGUCGUCAGCUCGUGUCGUGAGAUGUGGUUAAGUCCGCAACGAGCGCAACCCCUAUUGUUAGUUGCCAUCAUUCAGUUGGGCACUCUAGCGAGACUGCCGGUAAUAAACCGGAGGAAGGUGGGGAUGACGUCAAAUCAUCAUGCCCCUUAUGACCUGGGCUACACACGUGCUACAAUGGUUGGUACAACGAGUUGCGAGUCGGUGACGGCGAGCUAAUCUCUUAAAGCCAAUCUCAGUUCGGAUUGUAGGCUGCAACUCGCCUACAUGAAGUCGGAAUCGCUAGUAAUCGCGGAUCAGCACGCCGCGGUGAAUACGUUCCCGGGCCUU